CGAGCUGGUCAGGCGAUCGCUUCCGCGGCACGCGAGUGCGGGCGGGGGAGGAAAGUCCGGGCUCCACAGGGCAGGGUGCCAGGUAACGCCUGGGGGGCGCGAGCCUACGGAAAGUGCAACAGAAAGUAUACCGCCCGGUUCGCCGGGUAAGGGUGAAAUGGUGCGGUAAGAGCGCACCGCAUCGCUGGCAACAGCGGUGGCGAUGGUAAACCCCACCUGGAGCAAGACCAAAUAGGAAUCCAUGUGCCGUGGCCCGCGGUGGAUUCGGGUAGGUCGCUACAGGCAACUGGUGACAGUUGUCGCAGAUGAAUGAUCGUCCGAGACAGAACCCGGCUUAUCGACCGGCUCGACAA
RNAcentral lists this RNase P RNA (353 nucleotides) under Mangrovimicrobium sediminis. RNAcentral describes it as "Haliea sp. SAOS-164 Bacterial RNase P class A". It matches the Rfam family "Bacterial RNase P class A". From Rfam's summary of the family: Ribonuclease P (RNase P) is a ubiquitous endoribonuclease, found in archaea, bacteria and eukarya as well as chloroplasts and mitochondria. Its best characterised activity is the generation of mature 5'-ends of tRNAs by cleaving the 5'-leader elements of precursor-tRNAs. Cellular RNase Ps are ribonucleoproteins. The record is from Rfam by way of RNAcentral. Lineage: Bacteria; Pseudomonadati; Pseudomonadota; Gammaproteobacteria; Cellvibrionales; Halieaceae.